RNAcentral lists this ribosomal RNA (490 nucleotides) under uncultured bacterium. RNAcentral describes it as "partial 16S ribosomal RNA". It matches the Rfam family "Bacterial small subunit ribosomal RNA", at positions 30 to 507 of the family's 1533-position model. The record is from RNAcentral.
AUUGAACGCUGGCGGCAGGCCUAACACAUGCAAGUCGAAUGGUAACAGGAAACAGCUUGCUGUUUCGCUGACGAGUGGCGGACGGGUGAGUAAUGUCUGGGAAACUGCCUGAUGGAGGGGGAUAACUACUGGAAACGGUAGCUAAUACCGCAUAACGUCGCAAGACCAAAGAGGGGGACCUUCGGGCCUCUUGCCAUCAGAUGUGCCCAGAUGGGAUUAGCUAGUAGGUGGGGCAACGGCUCACCUAGGCGACGAUCCCUAGCUGGUCUGAGAGGAUGACCAGCCACACUGGAACUGAGACACGGUCCAGACUCCUACGGGAGGCAGCAGUGGGGAAUAUUGCACAAUGGGCGAAAGCCUGAUGCAGCCAUGCCGCGUGUAUGAAGAAGGCCUUCGGGUUGUAAAGUACUUUCAGCGGGGAGGAAGGGAGUAAAGUUAAUACCUUUGCUCAUUGACGUUACCCGCAGAAGAAGCACCGGCUAACUCCGUG